Amborella trichopoda is the source of this 1230-nucleotide long non-coding RNA. RefSeq lists it as uncharacterized. NCBI's taxonomy places the organism in Eukaryota, Viridiplantae, Streptophyta, Magnoliopsida, Amborellales, Amborellaceae. The record is from RefSeq and is a predicted model, not a curated record.
GGCACAAUUAGGGAUUUCAGAAGAAGGGGAUUUUAGAGAGAGAAGGCAGAGAGAGAGAGGGGGUCUCGUAGCAGGCAGCUUGUGGACAAAAUUUUCACCAGACUAUUUGCUAAGACAAAUGAAAGAAUAUGGUGGGCUUACAUAGUUUUCAAUCUGAAUGCUUGCUCGAUCCUCUCCCUCUCUGUUUCUCUCUCUAACAUCUCUGGGCCUAAUGAUUUGAUCGCGGUUGUUUAUCUCGCAAUCACUCUGAAGGCUCCUCUCUCUCUCUCUCUCUCAAUGUUCUUUUUAUUUGAAAUUUUUAAUGAAUCAUACUGUUGCUUUUUAUUUGAUUUUUUACAGAAAUUUAGAGCAAUGGAUUUUCGUCAUGAAAAGGGGCAAGAACCAGUUUUUUUUUUUCCUUUUUUUGUUGCUUGUUUUUAUAAUGUUGGUAACACUAACAUCUUUUUGUCUUGCAAAAUCAUUUUUCAAGAUUUUGAAGUGCGUGUUUGGGAAAAGAAAAAAGAUAAUUUUAUUAUUAAUUUUUUUAAAAUCUAUUUGAUCAGAUUAUCUGGUGUAUUUUUGGAUGUUAUCCAUUCAAACUAAAAUUGGUUUUUUUUUUUUUCAAUCUUGUAAGUGAUAUUUACAUUCUCUCUUGAAGUAUUGAUAUUAAUUUUUGCAAAAUGGCGUAAAAAUUGUAUAACACUCAAUACCCAAUUAAUGAAACAAAGAACAGAUAUACCUAGCAGUCUUUUGGGGAGAGCUCUGCUAUUCAGGAAUGAGACAUGCGUCUUUUAUCCAUAGCCCUGCGAAUGGAUCCUCUGCAAGGUUGGCAAUGGCUAACCUCUAUGGUAGCUCUUUCACGGUGCCACAAAAUGGAUUAGAUGACAUUUCAAUGGUUCUGAUGCUGUACAUAUCUUUCCAAAUGCUACGAAAUUCCCAAUGCUGACUCCAUUCUAAUGCCUCAAGAUGGAGCAGAUGACAAUGAUUAGCUCUAACUUGAUUCUACAGUGAAGUGGAUUUUCUGAUACCUCCAGGGCACCUCGAGUUUGUUUCAAGGAGACUCAAUCAAUCAGUCUAUAUGGCAACUCUUAUGUGAUUCCGGUGUGGAGGAAGUAGAGGGUAGCACAACAGUUCUAAUGUCUGUUGAGUUGUGGUCCUUUUUUUAUAUUAUAGUUUUGGCAACUUUCUAUCAUCAUUCUUUCUUGUACAAAUUGAUGGUUGUUUAUUAGUUGUAAUUUUUUAUUUUUUUUA